This is a non-coding RNA of Python bivittatus (Burmese python), 435 nucleotides long. Lineage: Eukaryota; Metazoa; Chordata; Lepidosauria; Squamata; Pythonidae. The record is from the annotation of a RefSeq genome assembly.
GUAAGUAGGUAGAAGGAUCCCAGGCAGACAUUCCUUGGUUUUAGAAGACAAUCCUUUUGGAAGGGAAGCACAAUGGCCUUGACACUACUUUUCCUUUCCUUUCUUACUUAUUUCUCAGGCAUCAUUUCACAGCCCACCUUGACUCAGCCUGCCUCCCAGUCUGGAUCUCCAGGAGAAACCAUUAAACUCUCCUGUGCCAUCAGCAGCAGCCCAAACUACAUUUACUGGCUUCAACAGAGAUCUGGAGAGUCUCCUCGCUUUGUCCACUGUGAUGGCUGCAGCAGGGGACCAGGGAUCCCAGACCGAUUCACAGCAACCCAGUCAGGCAACAACGGCUAUUUAACCAUCACCAACCUUCAGGCAGAAGACGAGGCUGAUUAUUUCUGUUCCAUGUGGUAUAGCAGUGGUAGUGUGCUCCACAGUGAGCCAAUCUGA